GUUGAACGCUGGCGGCAUGCUUUACACAUGCAAGUCGAACGGCAGCGCGGGGCAACCUGGCGGCGAGUGGCGAACGGGUGAGUAAUAUAUCGGAACGUACCCAGAAGUGGGGGAUAACGUAGCGAAAGUUACGCUAAUACCGCAUACGAUCUACGGAUGAAAGUAGGGGACCGCAAGGCCUUAUGCUUUUGGAGCGGCCGAUAUCUGAUUAGCUAGUUGGUGAGGUAAAGGCUCACCAAGGCGACGAUCAGUAGCUGGUCUGAGAGGACGACCAGCCACACUGGAACUGAGACACGGUCCAGACUCCUACGGGAGGCAGCAGUGGGGAAUUUUGGACAAUGGGCGCAAGCCUGAUCCAGCAAUGCCGCGUGAGUGAAGAAGGCCUUCGGGUUGUAAAGCUCUUUUGUCAGGGAAGAAACGGUAGAGGCCAAUAUCCUUUGCUAAUGACGGUACCUGAAGAAUAAGCACCGGCUAACUACGUG
Molecule: ribosomal RNA, 482 nt
Filed under: uncultured bacterium
Lineage: Bacteria
Description: partial 16S ribosomal RNA
Rfam family: Bacterial small subunit ribosomal RNA
Source: RNAcentral